GUUUAACCAAUAAUGUCUUGCUUGUAUUUUAUUUAAUACAAUCAUUCACAAUCCAUCUAUUAGAAAAGAUAGAACAUAACUGUGGAAAUAAACCAAUUUAUCCUGGAAGAAAAGAGCACCUUUGUUCUGUGGCGAUGCCUACGUUGGAUUUUUCCCAUCUGGGAAAACUUAACCCCAGAAUCCUUUCUUCAAAUGCAACGCCAUUUGAAACUGCACAAGCAACCCCAAUGUUCUUGUAAUGGCACUGAGAAAUUUCCAUUUAGAUACUUUAUAAAUACCACCACAAGACAGCUCAUUCUGACCCCCAAGUUAAAUAUAUUGGAAGUUUCAGUUGCCACAGGACACUCACAUGCUCUCAUAAGAGAGCAGAAAUGCUUUGAAGGCAAGUUUUUUGCUGCCUGCAAGUCAGGGGAGAUGGCAAGCAGAGAGAUAAAAUUCAUUGCUAUCUUUGUAGUGUUAUUAGGAAUCCAUAAGCAUCAGGUUCAAAAUUCCUCAGAUAAAAAUGCCUGGAAAAACAUACAAGACUUCAUCAAUUUGCAAUAAUUGGUAAUCUACAGAGAAAAUUAAAGUUACUUCAUCCUUGAGAAAAAACAUUUAUUUAAUUUAUAUCUCCACAAAGAAAUUGACUUUACAGAAUAGGGGCAGCUCCUGCUUGGGAUGGAUGGAAAAAUGGGAGAAUAACCACAGCAAUGACUGCAAUCCUACAGCAAUGGCAGCCUCCCUAUAGCUAUCUAUUGGUAGUAUUUUAUAAAGAAAGAAGUUCUUACAUGCCAGUUACAGGCCACAGAGAAACACACAAAAUAUUUGACAUUGAUGGUGUGGAAGAUGCUGUCUCAGUUCUUGAAAGCCUACGGCUAAACCACACUUGAUGAAAACCAUUAGUUUGGCUUUUCACAAAACAAAAUUUAUUAAAACCAGAUUUAAAAGUGCCCCAAUUCUGUAAAAUAUUAACUAAAAAAUGAAAUCUAUCUAAAGAAAACCUGACAUUGCUGCCUCCUGAUAGUGCUACAUGCAUGUUAUGGCCUUCUGUUCAGUAGGAGCAGGAAGCAAUGGUUUUUAUCUGUGUGAAUUGAAAUGAGCUGAAAUGAACUGCCAUGACAGAGGAAAAACUGUUGGAAUGUCUCAUGGAAAGACAGUUUUCUGAAGACCCUUCUUUGAGAGGAAUCUGAGUAAAUAUUCCAUUUUAUGCAAAACAGAUCUACAUUCUCCUUCUUUUACAGACACAAGGGCUGCUCCGAAAGCCAUGUUUCCCAUUUUAUUACGUUUGCUCACAAAAACUCCAUGAGGAGCAAUCUCCAAGAAGAGAU
RNAcentral lists this long non-coding RNA (1307 nucleotides) under Gallus gallus (chicken). Its description in RNAcentral is "lncRNA (ENSGALG00010008677.1)". Lineage: Eukaryota; Metazoa; Chordata; Aves; Galliformes; Phasianidae. The record is from RNAcentral.